Molecule: ribosomal RNA, 424 nt
Filed under: uncultured Marinilabiliales bacterium
Lineage: Bacteria; Pseudomonadati; Bacteroidota; Bacteroidia; Marinilabiliales
Description: bacterial SSU rRNA
Rfam family: Bacterial small subunit ribosomal RNA
Source: RNAcentral
UGAGGAAUAUUGGUCAAUGGGCGUAAGCCUGAACCAGCCAUCCCGCGUGCAGGAAGACGGCGCUAUGCGUUGUAAACUGCUUUUCCGGGGGAAGAAAACCCGCUACGCGUAGCGGCUUGCCGGUACCCUGGGAAUAAGCAUCGGCUAACUCCGUGCCAGCAGCCGCGGUAAUACGGAGGAUGCGAGCGUUAUCCGGAUUUAUUGGGUUUAAAGGGUGCGUAGGCGGAUUAAUAAGUCAGUGGUGAAAACCUGCAGCUUAACUGUAGAAUUGCCAUUGAUACUGUUAGUCUUGAGUACGGUCAAGGUAGGCGGAAUGUGUAAUGUAGCGGUGAAAUGCUUAGAUAUUACACAGAACACCGAUUGCGAAGGCAGCUUACUGGGCCAUUACUGACGCUGAUGCACGAAAGCGUGGGGAGCGAACAGG